UAGGGAAUCUUCGGCAAUGGACGGAAGUCUGACCGAGCAACGCCGCGUGAGUGAAGAAGGAUUUCGGAUCGUAAAGCUCUGUUGUUAGAGAAGAACGUUGGUAGGAGUGGAAAAUCUACCAAGUGACGGUAACUAACCAGAAAGGGACGGCUAACUACGUGCCAGCAGCCGCGGUAAUACGUAGGUCCCGAGCGUUGUCCGGAUUUAUUGGGCGUAAAGCGAGCGCAGGCGGUUCUUUAAGUCUGAAGUUAAAGGCAGUGGCUUAACCAUUGUACGCUUUGGAAACUGGAGGACUUGAGUGCAGAAGGGGGGAGUGGAAUUCCAUGUGUAGCGGUGAAAUGCGUAGAUAUAUGGAGGACCACCGGUGGCGAAAGCGGCUCUCUGGUCUGUAACUGACGCUGAGGCUCGAAAGCGUAGGGAGCAAACAGG
Molecule: ribosomal RNA, 429 nt
Filed under: Bacillota bacterium
Lineage: Bacteria; Bacillati; Bacillota
Description: Firmicutes bacterium partial 16S ribosomal RNA
Rfam family: Bacterial small subunit ribosomal RNA
Source: RNAcentral